AGUGAACGCUGGCGGUAGGCCUAACACAUGCAAGUCGAACGGCAGCACAGUAAGAGCUUGCUCUUACGGGUGGCGAGUGGCGGACGGGUGAGGAAUACAUCGGAAUCUACUUUUUCGUGGGGGAUAACGUAGGGAAACUUACGCUAAUACCGCAUACGACCUACGGGUGAAAGCAGGGGAUCUUCGGACCUUGCGCGAUUGAAUGAGCCGGUGUCGGAUUAGCUAGUUGGCGGGGUAAAGGCCCACCAAGGCGACGAUCGGUAGCUGGUCUGAGAGGGUGACCGGCCACAUUGGGACUGAGAUACGGCCCAGACGCCUACGGGAGGCAGCAGUGGGGGAUAUUGCACAAGGGGCGGAAGCAUGAUGCAGCAACGCCGCGUGCGGGAUGACGGCCUUCGGGUUGUAAACCGCUUUCGCCUGUGACGAAGCGUGAGUGACGGUAAUGGGUAAAGAAGCACCGGCUAACUACGUG
RNAcentral lists this ribosomal RNA (472 nucleotides) under uncultured bacterium. RNAcentral describes it as "partial 16S ribosomal RNA". It matches the Rfam family "Bacterial small subunit ribosomal RNA", at positions 30 to 507 of the family's 1533-position model. The record is from RNAcentral.